This 711-nucleotide ribosomal RNA is filed under the name Pseudomonadota bacterium. RNAcentral describes it as "bacterial SSU rRNA". It matches the Rfam family "Bacterial small subunit ribosomal RNA", at positions 28 to 739 of the family's 1533-position model. Lineage: Bacteria; Pseudomonadati; Pseudomonadota. The record is from RNAcentral.
AUUGAACGCUGGCGGCAUGCCUUACACAUGCAAGUCGAACGGUAGAGGGGCAACCCUUGAGAGUGGCGAACGGGUGAGUAAUGCAUCGGAACGUGCCUAGUAGUGGGGGACAACCAAGCGAAAGUUUGGCUAAUACCGCAUACGACCUACGGGUGAAAGGGGGGGAUCGCAAGACCUCUCGCUAUUAGAGCGGCCGAUGUCGGAUUAGCUAGUUGGUGGGGUAAAAGCCUACCAAGGCGACGAUCCGUAGCUGGUCUGAGAGGACGACCAGCCACACUGGGACUGAGACACGGCCCAGACUCCUACGGGAGGCAGCAGUGGGGAAUUUUGGACAAUGGGCGAAAGCCUGAUCCAGCAAUGCCGCGUGUGUGAAGAAGGCCUUCGGGUUGUAAAGCACUUUUAUCCGGAGCGAAAUCUCUUAGGCUAAUAUCCUGAGAGUCUGACGGUACCGGAGGAAUAAGCACCGGCUAACUACGUGCCAGCAGCCGCGGUAAUACGUAGGGUGCGAGCGUUAAUCGGAAUUACUGGGCGUAAAGCGUGCGCAGGCGGUUGUGUAAGACAGAUGUGAAAGCCCCGGGCUUAACCUGGGAACUGCAUUUGUGACUGCACGGCUAGAGUGUGUCAGAGGGAGGUGGAAUUCCGCGUGUAGCAGUGAAAUGCGUAGAGAUGCGGAGGAACACCGAUGGCGGAAGGCAGCCUCCUGGGAUAACA